Molecule: ribosomal RNA, 465 nt
Filed under: uncultured bacterium
Lineage: Bacteria
Description: partial 16S ribosomal RNA
Rfam family: Bacterial small subunit ribosomal RNA
Source: RNAcentral
CUACGGGCUGCUCCAGUCGAGAAUCAUUGUCAAUGUACGAAAGUAUGAACAUGCGACGCCACGUGGAGGACGAAGGCCUUCGGGUUGUAAACUCCUGUCCUGAGGGAGUAAGUGCAUGACGGUUAAUACCCGUUGUGUUUGAUAGUACCUCAGAAGAAAGUCACGGCUAACUCUGUGCCAGCAGCCGCGGUAAUACAGAUGUGGCAAGUGUUGUUCGGAUUUACUGGGCGUAAAGGGUCCGCAGGCUGUUUUGUGUGUCGGAUGUGAAAGCUCACGGCUCAACCGUGGAAUUGCAUUCGAAACUACAGAACUAGAGUACAGGAGGGGAGCAGGGAAUUCAUGGUGUAGCGGUGAAAUGCGUAGAUAUCAUGAAGAACACCGGUGGCGAAGGCGCUGCUCUGGACUGAUACUGACGCUCAUGGACGAAAGCUGGGGGAGCGAAGAGGAUUAGAUACCCUGGUAGUC